RNAcentral lists this ribosomal RNA (828 nucleotides) under uncultured bacterium. RNAcentral describes it as "bacterial SSU rRNA". It matches the Rfam family "Bacterial small subunit ribosomal RNA", at positions 66 to 884 of the family's 1533-position model. The record is from RNAcentral.
ACGGUACAGUGACUUCGGUCGCUGACGAGUGGCGCACGGGUGAGUAACGCGUGGGUUACCUGCCCAUAAGUGGGGAACAACUUGGAGAAAUCCAAGCUAAUACCGCAUAAUACCUUCGGGUUAAAGAGGGGGAUCUUCGGACCUCUCGCUUAUGGAUGGUCCCCGCGUCUGAUUAGCUAGUUGGUAGGGUAAUGGCCCUACCAAGGGCAAUGAUCAGUAAGCUGGGUCUGAGAGGAUGGAUCAGUCACACUGGGAACUGAGACACGGUCCAGACUCCCUACGGGAGGCAGCAGUGGGGAAUUUUGCACAAUGGGCGAAAGCCUGAUGCAGCGACGCCGCGUGCGGGAAGAAGGUCUUCGGGUUGUAAACCGCUUUCAACAGGGAAGAAGGAAUGAGAGCUAAUACCUCUCUGCCUUGACGGUACCUGUAGAAGAAGCACCGGCUAAUUUCGUGCCAGCAGCCGCGGUAAUACGAAAGGUGCAAGCGUUGUUCGGAUUUACUGGGCGUAAAGAGAUCGUAGGUGGCUUGUUAAGUCGGAUGUGAAAUCCCGGGGCUCAACCCCGGAACUGCAUCCGAUACUGGCAGGCUUGAGUUUGGGAGGGGUAAGCGGAAUUCCGUGUGUAGCAGUGAAAUGCGUAGAUAUACGGAGGAACACCUGAGGCGAACGCGGCUUACUGGACCAAUACUGACACUGAGGAUCGAAAGCGUGGGUAGCAAACAGGAUUAGAUACCCUGGUAGUCCACGCCCUAAACGAUGUCAACUAGCCGUUGCGGGUAUCGACCCCUGCAGUGCGCAGCUAACGCGAUAAGUUGACGCUGGGGAGUACG